UCCGACUUAACGUCGGCAGUCCCUUUAGAGUGCCCAACUUAAUGCUGGCAACUAAAGGCAAGGGUUGCGCUCGUUGCGGGACUUAACCCAACAUCUCACGACACGAGCUGACGACAGCCAUGCAGCACCUGUGAUAAUGUCCCUUGCGGGCCGACGACAUCUCUGCCGUAUUCACUACCAUGUCAAACCCAGGUAAGGUUUUGCGCGUUGCAUCGAAUUAAACCACAUACUCCACCGCUUGUGCGGGCCCCCGUCAAUUUCUUUGAGUUUUAAUCUUGCGACCGUACUCCCCAGGCGGGAUACUUAACGCGUUAGCUUCGUCACUGAAGGGGUCAAUACCUCCAACAACAAGUAUCCAUCGUUUACGGCGUGGACUAC
This 378-nucleotide unclassified non-coding RNA is filed under the name uncultured Pseudobdellovibrionaceae bacterium. RNAcentral describes it as "uncultured Bdellovibrionaceae bacterium contains 16S-23S intergenic spacer region". The record is from RNAcentral. Lineage: Bacteria; Pseudomonadati; Bdellovibrionota; Bdellovibrionia; Bdellovibrionales; Pseudobdellovibrionaceae.